This 23-nucleotide non-coding RNA is filed under the name Arabidopsis thaliana (thale cress). The record is from RNAcentral. Lineage: Eukaryota; Viridiplantae; Streptophyta; Magnoliopsida; Brassicales; Brassicaceae.
CAGCGUGCUCCGGGCGUCGGCCU